UCUGCCCAGUAGUGGGGAACGAAACUCCGAGAAAUCGGAGCUAAUACCGCAUACGGUCUGUUGUGAGAGCAACGAGACUAAAGCGAGCAAUCGCGCUAUUGGAGGAACCUGCGGCUGAUUAGCUAGUUGGUGGGGUAAAGGCCUACCAAGGCGACGAUCCGUAGCUGGUCUGAGAGGAUGAUCAGCCACACUGGAACUGAGACACGGUCCAG
RNAcentral lists this ribosomal RNA (212 nucleotides) under uncultured bacterium. RNAcentral's name for it is "partial 16S ribosomal RNA". It matches the Rfam family "Bacterial small subunit ribosomal RNA", at positions 125 to 334 of the family's 1533-position model. The record is from RNAcentral.